Molecule: ribosomal RNA, 252 nt
Filed under: uncultured bacterium
Lineage: Bacteria
Description: partial 16S ribosomal RNA
Rfam family: Bacterial small subunit ribosomal RNA
Source: RNAcentral
ACGGAGGGUGCAAACGUUGUUCGGAAUCAUUGGGCGUAAAGGGCUCGCAGGCUGUCUUGCAGGUCGGGUGUGAAAUCCCGGGGCUCAACCCCGGAAUUGCGCUCGAAACCGUGAGACUUGAGUUACUGAGGGAGAGGUAGAAUUCCUGGUGUAGAGGUGAAAUUCGUAGAUAUCAGGAGGAAUACCGGUGGCGAAGGCGACCUCUUGGCAGAUAACUGACGCUGAGGAGCGAAAGCGUGGGGAGCAAACAGG